Spea bombifrons (plains spadefoot toad) is the source of this 158-nucleotide long non-coding RNA. RefSeq lists it as uncharacterized. Lineage: Eukaryota; Metazoa; Chordata; Amphibia; Anura; Pelobatidae. The transcript has 3 exons. The record is from RefSeq and is a predicted model, not a curated record.
AGGAUGACCUGGAGGUUACAGGAACUGUUUUGAAUGUUGUAUGCCAAGUUGCGGGAGACCUGCUAAUCAAACUGAGUGAAGCUUUGGGCAACAUUAAAUUAGACUUGUCUGGGACAGUGGGUGGUCUGAAAAACCUGCUAGGCUGAAGGAUUUUCACG